UAUAAUAAAGAAAUUCUCUGUGAUUUUUUCCCCAUGAUGAUCAGAAUGAUUCUUUGAAGUAAUUAUGCUCUCCUCGCCAAAUUCUUUCCCUAGAUAAAGAAAAUCCGACGAAACAGUUCACACAGAAAUACCGCUUCUAACGCAAGAACUGAAAGAUCCAAAAGGCUUCCUCCUCAUCAAUGAUCACUGAUUUGAUGUAGAGAAGAACAAGAUAAUUCACAUGAGACUGCAAACAGCUCAAAAGGAUGAAAGAAUGCAGUUUUAAUAGUGCGAUGAUGCAACCCACCCCCUCCUUUUCUCCUUCUCUCAUUCACACGCAUGCAAACAAAGCAAGAGAAUCAUUAAAGUUCAAUGAAAAAUAUUUUCUGACCAUACUAGAGGACGUUUGAUGGUUCUGAAAUGACAGCAUCAAAUCAUAAAAAUACGAGAAAAAUAAAAUCAAAACAUACCUCAGGAGACUUGAGAAUGAGAGAUUGAGAUUGAGAGAGUUGAGAAUGAUAGGAAUUAGGAAGCACUGGAGGUGGAGGUGGAGG
Molecule: long non-coding RNA, 533 nt
Filed under: Citrus maxima (pomelo)
Lineage: Eukaryota; Viridiplantae; Streptophyta; Magnoliopsida; Sapindales; Rutaceae
Description: long non-coding RNA (CMAX_LNC000786)
Source: RNAcentral